RNAcentral lists this ribosomal RNA (301 nucleotides) under uncultured bacterium. RNAcentral's name for it is "partial 16S ribosomal RNA". It matches the Rfam family "Bacterial small subunit ribosomal RNA", at positions 509 to 807 of the family's 1533-position model. The record is from RNAcentral.
CAGUAGCCGCGGGAAUACGAAGGGUGCAAGCGUUACUCGGAAUUACUGGGCGUAAAGCGUGCGUAGGUGGUGGUUUAAGUCCGUUGUGAAAGCCCUGGGCUCAACCUGGGAAUUGCAGUGGAUACUGGGUCACUAGAGUGUGGUAGAGGAUAGUGGAAUUUCCGGUGUAGCAGUGAAAUGCGUAGAGAUCGGAAGGAACAUCUGUGGCGAAGGCGACUAUCUGGGCCAACACUGACACUGAGGCACGAAAGCGUGGGGAGCAAACAGGAUUAGAGACCCGUGUAGUCCCUGUCUCUUAUAC